RNA transcript from Eubalaena glacialis (North Atlantic right whale), 1650 nucleotides. It is a transcript of the gene named ATP synthase subunit a-like, with no coding region annotated. The transcript has a single exon. The record is from RefSeq and is a predicted model, not a curated record. NCBI's taxonomy places the organism in Eukaryota, Metazoa, Chordata, Mammalia, Artiodactyla, Balaenidae.
AGAGCCCAAACUCCCCUUAAUGAUAUGCCACAACUAGAUACAUCAACAUGACUCCUCACUAUCCUAUCUAUACUCCUAACCCUAUUUGUAUUAUUUCAACUAAAAAUUUCAAAACACUCCCACUCCCCCAACCCCAAAUUAGUACUAACCAAAACACAAAAACAACAAACCCCUUGAGACACCACAUGAACGAAAAUCUAUUUGCCCCUUUCAUAACCCCAGUUAUAGUAGGUAUUCCUAUCACCACCCUAAUUAUUAUCCUCCCAUCCAUUUUAUUCCCAACACCAAACCGACUAAUCAACAACCGCACAAUCUCUAUCCAACAAUGAUUAACUAAACUAACAUCAAAACAACUAAUAAAUACGCACAGCCCUAAAGGACAAACCUGAUCUCUAAUACUUAUUUCAUUAUUCCUAUUUAUUGCCUCCACCAAUCUCCUUGGAAUAUUACCCCACUCAUUCACACCCACCACACAACUCUCAAUAAAUGUAGGAAUAGCCAUCCCCCUAUGAGCUGGCACUGUUUUUACUGGAUUCCGCAACAAAACAAAAAUAUCCUUAGCACACCUACUACCACAAGGCACACCCACCUUUCUUAUUCCUAUGCUAGUAAUUAUCGAAACUAUUAGCCUAUUCAUUCAACCAGUAGCACUGGCCGUACGACUAACUGCCAACAUUACAGCAGGUCACCUACUAAUACAUUUAAUUGGAGAAGCAACCCUUGCACUAAUAAAUAUCAGCCUAUUUACAACCCUUAUCACCUUUGUUAUUCUUACUCUAUUAACCAUCCUUGAAUUCGCUGUCGCCUUAAUCCAAGCCUACGUAUUCACCCUCCUAGUAAGCCUAUACCUUCAUGAUAACACAUAAUGACCCACCAAACCCACUCAUAUCACAUAGUAAACCCCAGUCCUUGACCCCUCACUGGAGCUCUAUCAGCACUUCUUAUAACAUCAGGCCUAAUUAUGUGAUUCCAUUUCAACUCAAUAAUCUUGCUAACUUUAGGCUUACUAACAAAUAUCUUAACAAUAUACCAAUGAUGACGAGACAUUAUCCGAGAAAGCACAUUCCAAGGCCAUCACACACCAACCGUCCAAAAAGGACUUCGAUAUGGAAUAAUCCUAUUUAUCAUCUCAGAAGUCCUAUUCUUCACAGGCUUCUUCUGAGCCUUCUACCACUCAAGCCUCGCUCCUACUCCAGAACUAGGUGGAUGUUGACCACCAACAGGCAUCCACCCCUUAAAUCCCCUAGAAGUUCCCCUUCUCAAUACCUCUGUGCUGUUGGCCUCCGGUGUAUCCAUUACCUGAGCUCACCAUAGUCUAAUAGAAGGAAACCGUAAACACAUACUUCAAGCGCUCUUCAUCACAAUUGCACUAGGUCUCUAUUUCACCCUACUACAAGCAUCAGAAUAUUACGAAGCCCCUUUCACAAUUUCUGACGGAAUCUACGGAUCUACAUUCUUCGUAGCCACGGGCUUUCAUGGAUUACACGUAAUUAUCGGAUCUACCUUCCUCAUUGUUUGCUUCCUACGUCAAAUAAAAUUCCACUUUACAUCAAACCACCAUUUUGGCUUCGAAGCCGCUGCUUGAUAUUGACAUUUUGUAGACGUCGUAUGAGUAUUUCUUUAUGUAUCUAUCUAUUGAUGAGGCUCCUA